Long non-coding RNA from Oreochromis aureus, 1344 nucleotides. NCBI's taxonomy places the organism in Eukaryota, Metazoa, Chordata, Actinopteri, Cichliformes, Cichlidae. The record is from Ensembl.
CAGGAGCAGGGCUUCUGAUGCUGAGGGUGUCGGCGCUUUUAGGAAGACCUUUGGAUGUUUCCCAUGAGGAGCUGAGACGUGUCCUGCUGGUGUUUUUUACUGAAACCAUAAACAAUCAUCACAGAUCGACAGGUGUUCAAAUUCAGGAUGUUCAGACUUGAAGUUUCAGCUGAAUGACGUCAUCCAACCAGCUGUGCUGCAGUUCCAACAAACACGAUGCAAACUUGUGUUUUACUCAUGAAACGUCUGAACUUCAAAGGUGCUGACUGACAGAGCACUUAGAUCGUCCAAUCACAGGCUCCUAGCACAACCUAGGUCUCGACUGAACUCGAGAGGUGACCAGGCCUUUGCAACCGUGGCACCAAGACUCUGGAAUAACCUCCCUGUUCAUAUUCGUACUGCCGAGUCUAUCCAGUCUUUUAAGUCACGUCUUAAAACCUAUUAAUCAAUAAACUGGAGAUACGACAACAAAUACAGAACUAAAUUUGACCUUCAUUGUUUAAAUCUGGGUCAUCUCAGUCACUUUACUCUCAUUACUGUCCUAAAAUGUGCAGCAGUCUCAUGCUACUGUAGAAAAGAGAAGUCGAGUUUUGGACAUGUGUAAAUGCCAGCGGUGAGGAGUUGGUCCCUGCCUUUGUCCAUGCAGAGAGAUUAAGAUGUGGUGACAUGGUCUAUUUUACUGUGUUAGAAGUGAAAUGGUUUCUUCAUGUGUUACAGUUCUGAUAUAUGUGAAAGUCUUUAAAGCUCAAAUUAAGGUUGAUGCAGUUUUUACAUCUCUGGGUCACGUCCAUGUUGUGUUAAAAUGCCAGUUGCAUCAAAAAUCACUUGCUGUAUUGAAAUAUUAGAUACUUUACAGGAAAAACUGAAAUCAGUUGUUUGUUUUGAUUAGAGAUGGUGAGUCGUCGUUUACAGCAGGUUCAGUGCUGGUUCUGCUGCAGAGUACAUGAAAAUGAAACUAACAUGAAAUCCUGCAGUUUGCUUUCAGAAUGUGUUGAUGCUUCUUCAUCCAGGGUAAAAUAUUUAUCUAUAAUAUAAUCUACAUGUGUAAUCUCCUCUGAAUCCUCUGCUCUCUGUCCUGCUCCACGGGAUCACCAGAAAAAAGUGAGCGAGGAAACUGAACUGAAUGUUGGAGACGAUGAUGUCAUCAGCAUAUGUACAGUUUAUGUACAGAGAAAACUGCAGCAGGGCCAAUGUGCAUCCCUGUGACACCUUUAUCAGAACUCUUAAUCAGAUUUUUAAUUUGAUUCAUCAUAACCAAAACUUUGAAACAAUCCUAAUUUCUGUCACGCUUAAACAAACUUAUAAUGACAUUAAAUCUAAUACCUAACAUGUUUUUCAUGUAUU